This 619-nucleotide long non-coding RNA is filed under the name Cricetulus griseus (Chinese hamster). Its description in RNAcentral is "lncRNA (ENSCGRG00015030182.1)". The record is from RNAcentral. Lineage: Eukaryota; Metazoa; Chordata; Mammalia; Rodentia; Cricetidae.
CUCAGCCCUUACACAUCCCACUCCUUCAGCUCAGGUUACUUUCUCUCCCUGUCUGCUCGAUUCUUCCUGUUUAAAUUGUUAUGCCUGCAUGCCCAGAUUACAAAUGACAGUCCAUAUAAAUAUGCUUUUAAAACCUCACUGUGGGGCCACAGAGAUGGUUCAGUGAGUAGAGGCACCAGCUGGCUUCCUGAGUGGAAGAAGAAACCAGCUUCAAGCCCUCAUCCAGUGGCUGAUGGAAGCAGAGGCGGAUAUCCUCAGAUAUACACUGAACUGAGCUCUGGAACUUAGUUGCAGAGAGGGAGAAAUGAAGAUCGAAGGGGUCGGUACCAGGUUGGAGAAACCCACAGAAACAGCUGGCCUGAACAAGGGGGAGCACAUCGACCCCAAAUCCUGUCUGGGAGGCCAGUACAGGACUGAUCCAGACCCCUGAACAUGGAUGUCAAUGAGGAGGCCUCUGCACUCUAGGGGAUCCCUGGUGGUGGAUUAGUAUUUUUCCCUGGUGUAAGAAGGGACUUUGAGAGCCCAUCCCAUAUGAAGGGAUGCACUCUUGCCCUGGACACAUGGGGCAGGGCCUAGGCCCCGCCCAGGAUGAUGUGGUGGACUUUGCAGAGCCCCUGUG